This is an RNA transcript of Lethenteron reissneri (Far Eastern brook lamprey), 6368 nucleotides long. It is a transcript of the gene named transcriptional adaptor 2A, with no coding region annotated. The record is from RefSeq and is a predicted model, not a curated record. Lineage: Eukaryota; Metazoa; Chordata; Hyperoartia; Petromyzontiformes; Petromyzontidae.
CUCCUUGUGUAACUUUAUUGCUACAUCGCUUCGUGUAACUUUAUGACUACCCUCGCUCUGUAUAACUUUAUUGGUACUCUCAGUGUAGCUUUAUUGGUACCCUUGCGAUGUAUAACUUUAUUGGUACCUCGUUCGGUGUAACUUUAUCGGUACCCUCGCACUGUGUAACUAUCGAUACUCCCGCUUUGUGUAACUUUAUUGGUAUCACUUUCUGUACUGUACUGUACAGUAUAUCUUUAUUGUGCUGCCGGGCGCAGUGUCGCUCUGUGGGUCGCCAUGGAUCGGCUGAGCGCGGUUGAUCCGUUCGCGCGGCCCCCGUGCCCCGGCUGCUCCUCGUAUCUCGUGGAGCCGUACAUCAAGUGCAGUCAGUGCGGACCCCCUCCGCUGCUGCUUUGCCUGCAGUGUUUUGCACAGGGCCUGGAGUUAAGGAGCCAUCGCAGUGAGCACAGCUAUGAAAUCGUGACGACAGAUUUCCCGGUGCUCGACAUCGGCUGGACGGCACAGGAAGAGAUGACGCUGCUGGAAGCUGUUCUGGACUGUGGGUUGGGAAAUUGGCAAGAUGUGGCCAAUCAGAUGCGGAGGAAGAGCAAGGAGGAGUGCGAGUGGCACUACAUGGAGCGCUAUAUCAACAACCCCCAUUUUGCGUCUCCCGCAGCCGGCACGGGGCCUAGCGACAGGGCGGAGGCCACCGCCGUUGCUGCCCCCAUUGCUUUUCAGGCUUGCGAAGAUCCUCCGAGGCCGGGACUUGACUCGGCAGUGGCAAGGGAGAUGGCCGGGUACAUGCCGGCCCGAUCUGACUUCUGCCAGGAGUUUGAUAACUAUGCUGAAUGGGACUUGAGGGACAUAGAUUUUGUGGAAGAUGACUCUGAUGUCUUGCGUGCCCUGAAGAUGGCCGUGGUGGAGAUCUAUCACUCUCGCCUCAAGGAGCGGCAAAGGCGUAAAAAAAUUGUUCGUGACUAUGGACUCAUUAACCUUCGCAAAUUCCAAGUCCUGGAGCGACAAAACAGCAAAGAGGUGCGGGAUUUAAGCGAGGCCAUUCGUCCCUUUGCUAAGACGAUGAAGCCCUUGGAGAUGGACAAGCUGAUCGAGAGCUAUGCACUAGAGUGUGAAUUGCGCAAGGAUGUCCAACGGCUACAGGAUUACCGUGUCUGUGGAGUCACCACCUUCAGAGGAGCGCGCGUGUAUGAGCGGCUGCUCGUGCGCCGUGAGGAGGAGAAGCUGCGGCGCACUGUACUACAGGAUGUGAUGCAAUACGUGCAGGACCCCAACGCCUGCCAACAGUGGCUGCAGCGGCAAGCAGCUCUGGAUGCUGGCCGUAACCCAGGUGGACCAAUCAUCCCCUCUCUUGGCCGAAGAAAUGCACCGCCUUUGGAUCUCACCGGACUCCCUGGCACUGAGAGGCUUAAUGAGCAGGAGAAGGAGCUGUGCCAGGCUGUGCGCCUCGUCCCAGAGGCGUACUUGGAAUAUCGUGGAGCUCUGGCAGCCGAAAGCCGCAAGCUGGGUGGGUUGCGUCUUGCCCAAGCCCGGGCUCUCAUAAAGAUUGAUGUCAACAAAACUCGGAAGCUGUACGACUUCCUUCUGCGAGAGGGUUACAUAUCCAAAGGUUAAGUAAUGGUGUGCCCAUCAGCCUGUUGCAUGAACCAUUUCUUCUGUUUACACGUCACUGAUUUCUCUUUUAGAAAUACAGACAUGUAGGUGCUGUGAACAUCCACACGCAUAAUCUGCACAAUAUGGAAGCUGAGUGGAUAUAUGCCUUACAAGUGCUUGAUGCUGAGAUGUGUUUGUUUACUGAGCCCCUUGCUGCUGAGAGAUGCUUCUGUUGUUGCAUCUUGCUGGCAGCGCAGUAGCAGCUGCCGGGCGCUGGUGACGCACGCCUGUAAUCCAAUUAUAUGGAGGCAACGGUGGCGGCGGCGGCGAGUGAAUCACACAUGUUGUGAAAGUCCCUGCCCAUAGGUGCCAACGUGCAAUUAUAAGUACAGUGGUACCUCGGUAUACGUCGUUAAUUCGUUCCAGAAGGUAGGACUUAUACCGAAAAUUUCGUAUACCAAACGAAUUUUUCCAAUAAGAAAUAAAGGGAAAGGAAAUAAUCCGUUCCAGAGUAUAAGAAAUUAUAUUUUAUAUGGCAUAUACAUUAAUGGGGUUGUAUGAAAUAAUUUAGACACUACUUAUUACUAAAAUGCAUACAUGAAUUAAAAUAAAUGCAUAAAUAAAUUAAAAUAAAAUGUAACAUCACUUUACCUUGCUAAGAGGAGUUGAUAGCCUACGAGGAUGGUGGUGAGGAAGGGGGGGAGGAGGAGAUGUUUAAUGGAAGGAGAGGGUCCCCUUCCAUUAAAACUUCAGGAAGCUGAAAUUCUGGGGUUUUUUCUCUUUCUUUUUUCUGUCUUUUUUCUUGACUUGGACCUGUAUUCUUGGUUCUUUCGGUAAAGUCACGUAGAAGGGAAAUAAUCAAAAUAAAACAAUGAAAUAGAAUUUUCAUGACGUUUCGGCCACAAUGCAAGCAGCCAUCCUCAGGUGAAGAAACAGCUGUCGGAAAGACAGCGUCCUAAUGAACACUGCUAAGCUUGGCAGCGUAUUUUAAGCUGGGUGGGAGGAGGAGAGCGCCUUUACAAAGGAGUUUACAUAUCAACAGAGGAAUUUAGAAUAUUGAUGACAAAUGUAGAUAUGGGGUUAGUUACUUCUUGUGGAAUGUGUAGAUCGGUGGGGGGGUCUCAAAGUCAUAUGCUAGUGUAUUAUGGAGAAUUAGCAGUAAUAAAGGAAGGGAAAUUUUUAAUAAUAAAGAACUGCAACAGCCCAAACCACCGCGUAUCAAGCUAGUGCAUUAUGUGGAAAACAAAAAAGGAGCUUCUAAAGAACUACAAAUACCCUACUACCAUACAAUAAACCGAUGUGGAAAAACUAAAUAUAAACUACAUCAAUAUAAUCAAUAUACCCAAUAUACUCUCCAAUAAGCCGAGCUAUUAACAUUAAGUAACUGGGUAUACACUACACUAGUAGUUCUUUAGAAACUCCAUUUUUGUUUUCCACAAUGCACUAGCUUGAUACGCGGUGGUUUGGGCUGUUUGCGUUGUGGCCGAAACGUCGUGAGAAUUUUAUUUUAUUAUGUUUUAUUAUUUUAUUAUUUCCCUUCUACGUGACUUAACCGAAAGAACCGAGAAUAUGAAUCCCUGCAGUCACGAAAGCUUUAAAUCGAGACUUGGACCUGGUUGAGGCUCACCAGGUUUGAGUUUUACUAAAAACCUGUCCAUUCAAGUUUGUUUUUGCCUUCUAAGAAUGUUCCUGAAGUGUGACAAUGUCUGGUCAUGCCACCACAAUAUUGUUACGGCUUGUUAGACCCAUAACAGUAUUGUGUAUGUGGGUACUGUACACGGUGACUCAUCCCGACCCAUACAAGUUCUAGCAAGCGCGUCGUAUCCCAAGCAAGACGUCGUAUCCCAAUACAUUUUUUUAUCGUCAAAACACGACGUAUACCAAAUUUUACGUAUUCCAAAGCGGUCGUAUACCGAGGUAUGACUGUUGAACUUCUUUUGCACUGUACGAAGCCAACCGUGCUAAUUGGAGGUGCGGCUGAAGGACAAGAAACUAAACACAAAGCAGUUUUAAAGAAAUUAGUUUUCAAUCUAGAAUUUAAAGUGCAUAGCUCCAGUGGCUUCCUAAUAAACUGGCUUGCCAGGAGAAUGCAGUAAAAAUGUGGACUUCACCUGUUCUGUCUUUUCGGGAUUGAGUGUUUCCCCCUUGCAUAGGUGUUUUUUUCCGAGUGCUCUGGUUUCCUCCCACAUAUAACCACUAAUUAAUUGGCCGAUGCCUUAAUAUAUAGUGGUCCGCAGAGCUUGGGGAAUUGUGGCUGUUUUCCCACUUGUCUCGGUGGUUCCUCUAACCUUUAAGUUAUUCUGAGUGAUCGGAUAUUGUGCGGCCUGUUCGUAGUUCGAAUUAUUACUUGGGCAUGGCCUAAAUGGUAAAAUAACACACAGCGUUUACAGAAAGCAAACGCACACUGAUGCCUAUCUGAAUGCAGAUUCGCAUCAUCACCCAGCUCAGAAAUCCUCUCUUAUCAAGACGCUCAUACAUCGGGCUAAAACAGUGUCAGAUGGUGAAAGUCUAGUGAGAGAGAUUAAACAUGUUAAAGAAGCACUAAGACAGAAUGGCUACAAUAAUGCUCAAAUUAACAGAGCACUAAAAGCCAAAUCACGAUCGCAAAGCAACACUGCUGAAAGCGAUCAGAUUAUUAAAACAAUAAAAAUACCAUUUAUCUCAGGAGUAACUGAUAAAUUAGCCCGUGUUUUGCAAAAGCAAAACAUUACAGUAAGAUUUGGUACAGUACACAAAAUUCUACAACUAGUAACGUGCACUAAAGACGAAUUACCUAAAUUAUCAACAGAAGGUGUAUAUCGGAUUAAUUGUGUAUGUGGCAGAUGCUAUAUUGGACAUACAGGGCGUAACGUUAGUGUAAGACUAAAAGAACACCAGAGAAAUAUUAAACUAUCACAAACACAACUGUCGGCAGUAGCAGAACAUGCAUGCCAACAGGGACACUCAAUUGAUUUUGACAACGUGGAAGUGUUGUGUAAAACUAGUUACUACUGGCAAAGACUAAUUAGAGAAUCGAUUGAAAUUGAGAGAAACAGAAAUAACUUUAAUCGCUCAGACAGCUACAGGCUUAGUGCGGCCUGGAAGCGUAUUAUUAAAUAAGAUACAUUACAAUUCCUUAUAAGGGAAACAACCACUAACUGAUUACUAAUGUAGCAUAAUCACAAUAAAACACAUUCCAAAUGAUUACUAAUCUACAACUCGCAUCGUAACAAUAGCCUGAUUACUAAUCUAGUAUAUAAUUACAAUCACUCCCCCCUUGAAUCUUUGCACCUGAUGAGUUAAUAAGUUAAUGAUGACGUCACCCUGCUGCUGCUCUAUAUAAGAACGGGAGACACAGCAGAGCCCCUCACCAUUCUGGCGAAUUGCCCGAUGAUGCUGGAUGCAAUUACCAGCGACACGUCGUACUCAAAUUGUAAAUGUUGUGGCUUCAACACACCGGUGGGCUGAAGCAGUGAACUAUUUGUCUUUGUCAACGUGACACAUUUUUUACUGAUUGGCCGUGUCGGGUGGUGGAGGGUUACGACACAUUUAUAAAUAACGCGAUCUAAACCCAAAAACGUUGAUUAUGAAUUCGAAUUAUUAAGCGCCUCGAAAAUACAUGUUUCUCGGUUUCAAUGUAAAAUGGGCGAAAUCAAAUUCAAGAAUGCUCCCAAAACUAAGAUGAGUGUGAGCUCCUGUUGUCGUUUAGGUGCUUGGGAAGAAUAGAAUCCGAUAGGUUUUCGGUUCUCACCACUUCACCUUCGGUGGCCACGCGGGUGGAUGAUGAUCCCGAUGAUCGUGUGACCCUGCAGGGCCAAUCACGCGAGCUGUCCCUGCGCAUUUUGUUUUGGCUCCGUGUGGGCAUCGUGGAGGACGCGAGACACGGGAGGACGCGAGAAAGACACCAAGGAUGUGAGGGAGACUCCAAGGACGAGAGACACACACCGAUGAUGUGAGGAAGACACCAAGGAUGUCAGCCUAUUGCUGUGGUUUGUUUAUAUUCACGUGGAUAAAUUGUGGAGACGUGUUGCUUUCUCCAGGAUAUUCCUGGUAUUGAUUUAGACCUGUUCAGCAUUGUCAGUAGCUUAAGCUUUCCACCCUUUCAUUUAGUAAAUUACAAAACUGGUACAGAUGUGAACUCAACCUCAUGUGCAGCUCGAGCGAAAGUCAUUCGUAUUAGUCUCCAUGAACAUGCAUUGGGCCUCUCGGUUCGCCUGGCUGCAGCAAGUCCAGGCUAUUUUUUAUUUUAUCAGCUUUGGCUCAACUAAGCUAUAUAGCUCUUUUUCAGAAGCGAUCUGGGUACAAAUUAUAGCUGAACGAAGUGGCUUGUGGAAAUUUAUAGCAGCCAAAUACUCUAAAUGCAUGUUUCUAAAUGUGGAGGGAAAACUCGUAGAAUCUGGAGAAAAAUUCACGCAGCCACGGGGAAAACAUGCAAACUCCAAAUAUACAGGUGUUGGGGUGUAAGGAUCUUUCCCACAACCUCCUGUAUAACAGGUGAGGUAGUUAACAUUUCACCAUAUAUACCUGCGUUUGGAUUGAACACACCUAGGACGUAUGCUCUGCUUGCGCAUUUAUACACAAAACUAUCAAACCCGUCUCUUCAAUGUUGAUGGAAAGUGGGGCAACUAAAUUUGAGAAUGUAAUCUUACAUCUGCAUCCAUGCCGAGUCAUGGGCAAGAGACAUAGCACUUGUGGUCCUGUUACUGUAAAUUACUGUGAUGCGAAAAGAUCAUUGGAACCCCGAUGAAGGGAAUGCCUCUUCAAAUGUGCAGUUUAUUGUGAUGAGUAAAAGCGUAAUGUGC